Long non-coding RNA from Oreochromis aureus, 725 nucleotides. The record is from Ensembl. NCBI's taxonomy places the organism in Eukaryota, Metazoa, Chordata, Actinopteri, Cichliformes, Cichlidae.
AAGCAACAGCUUGUAUUGCAGGAGGGCAUGUAUAGACAUAGGCCCAGAAGGGAAUUGUAUUAGACUGGCAGCAGCUCAGUGCAGGCGACAGGUUGUUACUGAAAGUGCGCGGCGAUAAGGAGAGCUUGCUUCGUGGUGGAGAAAAGGUCAUGACGCUUGGGAAUCCACCCUGAAAACAUACAAUGUCUUGGCAAGGUGGUUCGGCCACUUGCGUCAUUUCUUCCUGCAAUUGUUCAGCAGGUCAACGCGCAGACACAGCUGGCAGGAAGAGAGAUGCUGAACCCACCAUAAAGCUAGCCAAUCAGAUUGCUCCUAUGCAGAAAGCGGCAGCCAUCCUUGGCCAGUCUCUGGACCAUCUCCAGUCUGGACAGGUCCUCCUUGUCAUGCAGGAUGCACUUGUUCCCGUGCUGCAGCCCAGGGGACACAGAGAACAUGUAUCUGAGGCCACAGUCCCACGACAUUGCCGACUGAUUACUGGCUGCUGGCUUUCCACCAGGAACAACAGCAGAAGUCCUGAACAUGGGCUUACACAACUCGUAAAAAAUGCCUAACAGAGGUGAGCAGCUCAAGAAUGAGUGUAGGCUAUAUGUGCGAGUUGUGAGUUUCUGUCAUCGCAGCCUGAGUAGAUUCCAGUUGCUGUACACCUCAGUCAAUUCUACAGGCACAUCAGCUGAACUCCAGGUAUCGCUCUGUGUGGUUGGCUGUACUGAGAGUGAAUGACAGAG